Molecule: long non-coding RNA, 576 nt
Organism: Leopardus geoffroyi (Geoffroy's cat)
Lineage: Eukaryota; Metazoa; Chordata; Mammalia; Carnivora; Felidae
Exons: 2
Source: RefSeq, a predicted model, not a curated record
AAGGGAAGUGCUGGUGUCUCCCCCACAGCCCUGAUACAGCCGGGAGUUUGCGGCAGGGCAGGCUGUCUGGCUGGGCUUCUUCCCUUCCUCGUGUCUCCGGAGUCCGAGUCCGCAGCAUGCUGGCACGUGUGUCGGUCACCGCCGCCCCCACCCCCCCUCGUCCCGCCCCAGGUAGGGGGCUUUAAGACCUGGAAGCAGUUUCUGUUCUGGAGAAAUCAAAGGUGGAAGGGAAGGAAAGCAUUAGCCUGUUAUUUUUGAUGAGGACCGUCUGUGUGCAGUCAAAAGCAAAUCGCCCCUCUCCCCACCAAAAUAGCCCUAGAAACAGACUCCUCAAGCCGAAAGACAGUUUCACUGAAACCUGUACUGGUUCCUCGUUGCAGAUGUGGGUUAGUACCACGAACACUGUUAUUUUGCUUUUUAUUAGGGGUUUGUUUUGGUUUAUUUUUUGUGGCUUCUGUUUGUUUUUUCCUUUUGCAUCUUCUGCCGUAGGGCAAGGGAAGAAGUAGUUGGGUAAAGCGGUGGGUUAAGGAAGACCAUCUACACAGGAGAAUGUAGUGGGGGGGGGGGGGGGGGGAG